Molecule: long non-coding RNA, 3973 nt
Organism: Callithrix jacchus (white-tufted-ear marmoset)
Lineage: Eukaryota; Metazoa; Chordata; Mammalia; Primates; Cebidae
Source: RefSeq, a predicted model, not a curated record
UGACCUUCCCAACCCUGCUCAGUGUUGGGGUACUUCAGGUCACUCCCUCACAGAAUAGGCCAAAGAAUGGCCAGUUUCAGCUGUCCAAAUGCAACUUACCCCUCUGUGUUGGUGGUGAACUUGACAAGCAGUCGACUGAGGUGGAUGGUACCGCUGUGCCCGGGAAGGUGGAUUUUCCCUCUGGUUCCUCUGCCCAGCUUUGAGGAUGCUGGGGGUGGGGCUGGGGGCAAUGACCUCCACUUGUGAGGUCAUUGCAGCAUCAUCAAGGAGUGAUUGUUGUGUGACCCCAAUAGCUCCUGGCACAACUCAAACCCUGGACACCAGAAUAGAGACAUGAUGACUCACCCCCCUUGGCUGUCCCACCCCUCCCUAGACCCCUCAACAUUCAGGCUCGUAAAAUGAGGCUGCAGUCAAGAGUCCUGGGGUCUGAGGGUGGGAGGCUCAUUGUUGCUAGGAGCAAAAAAACUGGCCCACUGUUGACACGUGGUCUCUAGCUCUUCUGUCACUUCCAACGUUGAACUCCUCUGAACCUGUCCCUUCCCCACCUUUCUAGGAAAGCAACCCUGAACUGAUCACAACCAUUUUGACAUUCUUCUUUUCUUCAUUUUUCUAAUCUCUGUGUCCUCAAAGCUGUUGAGAAGCCGCUGUCACACCCAUCUCAGGAGACUCAGCCUCACCUGACAUUCAGCUCUGGACCAAAGGUACCAAUCUGGAUAUGGACAAGAUACAACUUGAAAAUUCCACCUUCCAUGUGAACUGCCCUGGCCUCCCACCCUGCUGUAUUUAAGAGAUACCAUCCUGAACAUGCCUGGGAUGCUCCCCACAGAUUGACUCCCCACCUGUUCUGCGGGGGGGCUGUUGCUGUGUCUCCUGUCUCACACUGUGCCCUAAUCCAGGAAAGAGCCUUCUUAUUCUUUGCAUCUUUAGUGAUGGGCCAGGGCCUGAUAUAUAAUAUAUGCUCAGUGAAUGUGUGGGGAAUAAAUGAAUGGAUAUACAAGACAAAGUUCAGCAGGAGAGGUAAAUGAAUAUCUGUCAGAGGAGGAAGAUCCAACUCUAUGGAGAUGGUGAUCUGUUUCUCACGGUCAACUUCCAACAUGAAUAUAUCUUUCCAAGGCCCAGAGAUUCCAGGAGGCAGGCACCACUGUGCUGUGUAGGCUGGAAAUCCCAGAUCAUGUUGGAUUUGUCCAGGAUACGGCUGCCAUCUGAUCCAGGCUCCCAAGCAGUGAUGGACUCAAGUGCCAGGCCUCAGACCUGAGUCUCCAUAUCCCCUUCCCUGCAGCUGGGGUUUCUCUUGCCCUGUACCUCCUCUCGACCCCUGCCUCCCACACAUGCACCCCCACAUACAUUAUCUGCCUGAGACCCUCUUCAGGAGCACUGGGGAGGAUACGGGAUGGGGUGGACUUGGCAGGGAGGUAGCUGGGCAAGGCACAGUAGGGGAGGAUCCUGUGGGUAGAUGGGAGUCACUCUCUUGAGUGAAGCUCUACCCCACUCUGCUGUGGAGCCCACGUUCUACCUGAGGGCUCUUCCUAAGGCACCCACCAGGCUUCGACUUCCUUUUUCCUCUUGUGACUCCACCACCUUCCCAGCUACCAGCAAGAGCAGUAAACUAGGGGCUCACUGGGGCAGAUGCCUUAAUGGAGAUAGCAGAGAUGAAGAGAAAAAUCCCUCAGCAGGUUGAGAGCGCCUUCUGCAGGCUCAGGGCACAAAGCGAGAACUCAUUGCACGGGUAAGGUAGGCAGUGAAAAGCAGAGACCCAUUUCUUUUACUGAGUGUGGGAUUACAAAGUCAGGAAUUUGGGGGAAAUUUUCAGAUGAUUUAAAAUCCUUCUUGUCAAUUCCUUAACCAGCUUUUCAAGGUCUUUAUAUUUUUUAAUAAAAUGUGAGGCGGAGCUGUGUUUCCCGAAUGAUCUUUUGCCAGCAGGAGGCAGCACGGGUUGGAAUAGUAGCAGCUGGAAUAACCCACCCUACCUUAUCUGACUUCAGAUAAGAUGUGGAAAUAACCUAAAUGUCCAUCAACAGACGAAUGAAGAAAAUGUGGUAUAUACACAUGAUGAAAUACUAACCAGCCUUAAAAUGGAAGGGAAUUUUGCCUUAUUCAACAACAUAAUGGCCCUCGAGGACAUUAUGCAGUGAAAUAAGUCCAAUACAGGAAGACCAAUACUGCACGAUUCCACUUAUAUGAAAUAUCUAAAAAUAGUCAGGUUCAUUAAAUGGAAGACUGUAACAGUGGUUAGCAGGGACAGGGGAGGAUUAAAUGAGUUAUUAACGUGGCUGAGCAACGUCGUACCCGUAGUCAACAACACUGCAUUGGAUUGACACACUUAUAAUUGGUUAAGGGGAUGGAGUUCAUGUUAAGAGUUCUUACCACAAAAAUAUAAACAAAUUAAAAAGGGGGAUAAGGAACGGGAAGGAUGGCACACCCGGCCCCCAGGAAGGCCCUGGGUACUUUUGUGUAAUUCCUGCUGUUUUCUGGAAAGGAUCUGUUAGAGCCAUUCACCACCUUGGAGACCCAGGGGCCUGGGAAGGUCUUCUCCUUGGUGCUCAUGAGACUUGGAGUCUUGUGGGCUGUGGGGUGCUCAGGGUUGUAGCAUGGAGGAAGGAGGUGUGUGUGGUGAGUGAGAGGGAGUCCCCGUGCCUCUAGAGGAAAGGAAAGAUCAUCUCAGCAUGUUCAAAACAGGCUUGGGAGCAGAGUGAGGAGGGGCCAGGAGAGGAGGUGAUAAAUGUAAUUGUCUUGAUUCUGAAGACUUUACCAUUGUCUAAAGCAGUUUUUAUUUCUUAGAAUUUCAAUCAUCCUCGCUACUCAAGACCCCCCAAAUGGUGGAACCCACGGGUAGAGAGAGCUAAGGAAGGUUAACUCCAUAUUGGAGAUGCCUUCUUGAGCCAGCAGGGGGCAGCAGUGGUAGUGGAGGCCGCAUUUGGAUGAGCUGACUGGUCCUUACCACGCAGGGUCAAAACAGAGAAUGGAGAGCAAGUCGGCUGUUCAGAAAGAUACCUGAAACAUGACCCACGUGUCCAGUCUUUGCUGUUGCCUGGAGGAGGAGCUGGGAGGAGAGUGUUGAACUGCCCUUAUUUGGUGGUCUAUGAAGGUAUCCUUCUCUUUCAGUAGAUGAAAGAUAAUUUGUGGGCUUUGUGGUGUUUUUUGUGGUUCUGGAAGACAGAGAUUGGAGAGAGUGCAGGGAGCAAUGUACCGCCUGGAUCCUGAGGGGAGAGAGGCUUCAGAAGAGCCUCUUUGGCUUUGGUGGUAUUCUUGCUGGCCUGGGGAGGAAGUGCAUUCUGCCAGCUGUGGGGUAAAAGCAGGGCCUGGGGACCCAGGAGGGGGCUGGCGGGCAUUUGGCACUGCUCCAGCUGCUGCUAGGUCAUCUUUCCUGGAUUGAUGAUACACUGCAAGAACUUUUCAACUUUAGCGACAGCUGUGGAGGAGCCUUCUCCUGAAUAUUCACAUGUGAGACAUUCCCUCUCCUCCCCUACUUCUCUAUCCUCAGGUACUAAGACCUUCACUCCCACUCACUUACUGCCACAGUUGCCCCCGUGGAACACAGGACUCAGCCAAGGGGAGUGUCUCUGGGGCUGCAUCAAGGUGCCAAUGCCUGCCCAUGUCUACGCCAACCUCAGAGGACUGAGGACAAUUCUGGAUUCUACUGUCUAUGACAAUCAUGCUCACAUUGCGAUGAUUCAGAAAAAACCAGAGUUAGAGAAGCAGCGAGAUAGAGUGCCUGUUAAAAAAUGGAAAAGGAAGUGGAGGAGUUUUAGCCCAAGGGAACAAAAGUUUGGAGGGGGGAGCACAAGCCGGCACAUAAUUCAAGGCUGUGCCUCAUGAAGACAUGCACCCAAAUGUUCUAGAGAGCAGGGGCAGAAUGCAUGGGUACAAGUGGCAGGAGGUAAGGAAGAAGUCGCCAACCCCCUCUUCUCAGGCCAGUAGCAGCCCUUCCUAAGUUUAUGAACUGUCUGGACCACCAAAUGUUUAAUUAAAUGCC